CGAACGCUGGCGGCGUGCUUAACACAUGCAAGUCGAACGAGACGAUUGAAAGCUUGCUUUUGAAAGUCGAGUGGCAAACGGGGUGAGUAACGCGUAGGCAACCUGCCUCUAGGAUGGGGACAACAGUCCGAAAGGACUGCUAAUACCGAAUGUUGUAGAUAUUCCGCAUGGAGUACCUAUUAAAGAUGGCCUCUACUUGUAAGCUAUCACCUAGAGAUGGGCCUGCGUCUGAUUAGCUAGUUGGUGGGGCAACGGCCUACCAAGGCGACGAUCAGUAGCCGGUCUGAGAGGAUGAACGGCCACAUUGGAACUGAGACACGGUCCAGACUCCUACGGGAGGCAGCAGUGGGGAAUCUUCCGCAAUGGGCGAAAGCCUGACGGAGCAACGCCGCGUGAGUGAAGAAGGCCUUCGGGUCGUAAAGCUCUGUUGUCGGGGACGAAUGUAGUAACCAUCAACAACGGUAACUAAUGACGGUACCUGACGAGGAAGCCACGGCUAACUACGUGCC
Molecule: ribosomal RNA, 509 nt
Filed under: uncultured bacterium
Lineage: Bacteria
Description: bacterial SSU rRNA
Rfam family: Bacterial small subunit ribosomal RNA
Source: RNAcentral